RNAcentral lists this ribosomal RNA (1494 nucleotides) under unidentified. RNAcentral's name for it is "bacterial SSU rRNA". It matches the Rfam family "Bacterial small subunit ribosomal RNA". The record is from RNAcentral.
AGAGUUUGAAUCUGGCUCAGGAUGAACGCUGGCGGCGUGCCUAAUACAUGCAAGUCGAACGCACAGCGAAAGGUGCUUGCACCUUUCAAGUGAGUGGCGAACGGGUGAGUAACACGUGGACAACCUGCCUCAAGGCUGGGGAUAACAUUUGGAAACAGAUGCUAAUACCGAAUAAAACUUAGUGUCGCAUGACACAAAGUUAAAAGGCGCUUCGGCGUCACCUAGAGAUGGAUCCGCGGUGCAUUAGUUAGUUGGUGGGGUAAAGGCCUACCAAGACAAUGAUGCAUAGCCGAGUUGAGAGACUGAUCGGCCACAUUGGGACUGAGACACGGCCCAAACUCCUACGGGAGGCUGCAGUAGGGAAUCUUCCACAAUGGGCGAAAGCCUGAUGGAGCAACGCCGCGUGUGUGAUGAAGGCUUUCGGGUCGUAAAGCACUGUUGUAUGGGAAGAACAGCUAGAAUAGGAAAUGAUUUUAGUUUGACGGUACCAUACCAGAAAGGGACGGCUAAAUACGUGCCAGCAGCCGCGGUAAUACGUAUGUCCCGAGCGUUAUCCGGAUUUAUUGGGCGUAAAGCGAGCGCAGACGGUUUAUUAAGUCUGAUGUGAAAGCCCGGAGCUCAACUCCGGAAUGGCAUUGGAAACUGGUUAACUUGAGUGCAGUAGAGGUAAGUGGAACUCCAUGUGUAGCGGUGGAAUGCGUAGAUAUAUGGAAGAACACCAGUGGCGAAGGCGGCUUACUGGACUGCAACUGACGUUGAGGCUCGAAAGUGUGGGUAGCAAACAGGAUUAGAUACCCUGGUAGUCCACACCGUAAACGAUGAACACUAGGUGUUAGGAGGUUUCCGCCUCUUAGUGCCGAAGCUAACGCAUUAAGUGUUCCGCCUGGGGAGUACGACCGCAAGGUUGAAACUCAAAGGAAUUGACGGGGACCCGCACAAGCGGUGGAGCAUGUGGUUUAAUUCGAAGCAACGCGAAGAACCUUACCAGGUCUUGACAUCCUUUGAAGCUUUUAGAGAUAGAAGUGUUCUCUUCGGAGACAAAGUGACAGGUGGUGCAUGGUCGUCGUCAGCUCGUGUCGUGAGAUGUUGGGUUAAGUCCCGCAACGAGCGCAACCCUUAUUGUUAGUUGCCAGCAUUCAGAUGGGCACUCUAGCGAGACUGCCGGUGACAAACCGGAGGAAGGCGGGGACGACGUCAGAUCAUCAUGCCCCUUAUGACCUGGGCUACACACGUGCUACAAUGGCGUAUACAACGAGUUGCCAACCCGCGAGGGUGAGCUAAUCUCUUAAAGUACGUCUCAGUUCGGAUUGUAGUCUGCAACUCGACUACAUGAAGUCGGAAUCGCUAGUAAUCGCGGAUCAGCACGCCGCGGUGAAUACGUUCCCGGGUCUUGUACACACCGCCCGUCACACCAUGGGAGUUUGUAAUGCCCAAAGCCGGUGGCCUAACCUUUUAGGAAGGAGCCGUCUAAGGCAGGACAGAUGACUGGGGUGA